UAUAUCUUGCGGACAAAGGGAAUAAUCGAUUCUCACAUGCUUUUUUUCACAGAUUUCGAAAAAAGAUGGCAACUCCACUCGAUCGAGCGAUAAAUGCUAUUGAGAACAAUCAAACUGAUACAAAGAACAGCCUCGAUUUCAUAAAACGUGAAAUAAAUUCGAUGAAUACAGUUAUUACCCAACAGCAAGCCACGAUUACCCAACAGCAAGCCACGAUUACCCAACAGCAAGCCACGAUUACCCAACAGCAAGGCGCGAUUACCCAGCUACAGCGAGAUGUUUUGCAACUGCAGCAGGUGAACGCCCUGUACAAAGAUGAAUGCCCGCACUGCGGUAAUUAUGUUGAUGCUCGUUUCUCAGCGUUCAAAUGUUGUGGUGACACGUGGUGUACUUCAUUGUGAAUUUUGAAAAAAAGGAUAAUUGCGACGAUGACAUUGAAACUGUCAGAGACAAACUAAAAGAAAAUCUUAUGCGGUUCGACUGGUCACGAUGAAAAAUGGGAGAAGAGUUCCGGUGACAUAUCAGCUCAUAUGAUAUCUGAUAAAGCUUGUUUGAGCUCAUUUUGGGACUCAUAAAUCACUGGGAUUUGCUCGCCACAAGGAAGUCGUUUCAUUCAUUCAACAUAAAGAAAAGUCACAUUACUGAUAACCAUUUUCAAUCGUAUUAUUCUUUUUAAUUUUAAACAUUUUGUCAUAUAAAUUUUUUUUCGUAGAAGUCCUAUCCAAAAAUGUCAGGUUAGCGUUAAAAUGUUCAAUAAAUAAAAAAAAAGAAAUGAAAUCAACCAAAUUGCUGAUUUAAUAGCAAUCGAAAAGGCUGUAAAAAGAAUAAGCGAUUGAACGAUUCGAUUUUAUUUUAAACUCCAAUUGUUUAGAUAAAUUUGCACAUAAAUUUGUUAUUGUUGUUGUUGUUUCUCGUCGUCGAUCGAUAGCAAGUUUUUGUUUCGAUAUUGGAAAAUCGCUUUUCCACCAGAUUAUCCGAUGAUUAUAAUUUUCAAGAUAAUGCUCGGUAUUUUUCUCUCUCUCCGUCUUACACUUGACACCAAAUUGGCUGACGCUUAUCAACGUUUUGCGCGUCUUUUUCGUCCCAUUUUUAUUUUGUAUCUUUCUCCAUUACUACAUGUAUUCUCUUAUCAUGCCCAUAUUUUGUAUCGUGCAUCGCAUCGCAUCAUGUUUGGAUCCGUUUUUGAAAAAUCAAGUCAAGAAUUUCUCUUACAAAACACUGAAGUAAAGCAUCUUGAAAUUGGCAUACCUUCAGCGACUGUCAUCGGCGUGUCAACAUGCACACAGUGAUACAAACAAACCCUUCGACCAGUGAUUUUUUACUCUUCCUUUUCUCAUGUCCUCCAUACAUUCUUUUCUUUUCUUUACUUCUCGCCCUCUCUCAGUGUGGUGUUCUGAAAUUGAAAGAUAUACUCAUUUCAUUUAUCUGUUCGAUGGGAAAGAAGAAGAAGACGACGACGACGAAAAAAAUGGAACAAACGAAAAUUCGGUGGAACGUGCUUUU
Molecule: RNA transcript, 1503 nt
Organism: Sitodiplosis mosellana (orange wheat blossom midge)
Lineage: Eukaryota; Metazoa; Arthropoda; Insecta; Diptera; Cecidomyiidae
Exons: 4
Source: RefSeq, a predicted model, not a curated record